AGAGUUUGAUCCUGGCUCAGAACGAACGCUGGCGGCGUGCUUAACACAUGCAAGUCGCGUGCGCAGUUUCCGUAGCAAUACGGGGAUCGGCGCACGGCGCACGGGUGCGUAACACGUGGGCAAUCUGCCCUCCGAUGGGGAAUACCCCCGCGAAAGCGGGACUAAUUCCGCAUAACAUUCCUUGGAUUAACUUUCGAGGAUUCAAAGCAGCAAUGCGUCGGAGGAGGAGCCCGCGCCCGAUUAGCUAGUUGGUGAGGUAACGGCUCACCAAGGCAAUGAUCGGUAGCUGGUCUGAGAGGAUGGCCAGCCACACUGGAACUGAGACACGGUCCAGACUCCUACGGGAGGCAGCAGUGGGGAAUCUUGCACAAUGGGCGAAAGCCUGAUGCAGCGACGCCGCGUGGGGGAUGAAGCUUCUCGGAGUGUAAACCCCUUUCGACUGGGACGAAUGCCUCGCAAGAGGAGUGACGGUACCAGUAUAAGAAGCCCCGGCUAACUACGUGCCAGCAGCCGCGGUAAGACGUAGGGGGCCAGCGUUAUUCGGAAUUACUGGGUGUAAAGGGUUCGUAGGCGGUGUGGCAAGUCGGGAGUGAAAUCUCUGGGCUCAACCCAGAGACUGCUUCCGAAACUGCUGUGCUUGAGUGCGAGAGAGGCUCGUGGAAUUGCAGGUGUAGCGGUGAAAUGCGUAGAUAUCUGCAGGAACACCCGUGGCGAAAGCGGCGAGCUGGAUCACUACUGACGCUGAGGAACGAAAGCUAGGGGAGCAAACAGGAUUAGAUACCCUGGUAGUCCUAGCCCUAAACGAUCAGGACUUGGGGUGCCGCCCGUUCGGGCGUCGUCCCGGAGCUAACGCGUUAAGUCCUGCACCUGGGGAGUACGGUCGCAAGACUGAAACUCAAAGGAAUUGACGG
Molecule: ribosomal RNA, 911 nt
Filed under: uncultured bacterium
Lineage: Bacteria
Description: bacterial SSU rRNA
Rfam family: Bacterial small subunit ribosomal RNA
Source: RNAcentral